This 1696-nucleotide ribosomal RNA is filed under the name Nuchequula nuchalis. RNAcentral's name for it is "16S ribosomal RNA". The stretch from base 100 to 1587 matches the Rfam family "Bacterial large subunit ribosomal RNA". Lineage: Eukaryota; Metazoa; Chordata; Actinopteri; Chaetodontiformes; Leiognathidae. The record is from RNAcentral.
AGCCCAACAACUAGCCCCACCCCACCCAAACACAACACCCCCCUAUAAAUACCCCCUCACAGUCUUAACCAUAAAGAUCUAAACCAUUCUUCCCCCUUAGUAUAGGAGAUAGAAAAGGAACAGUGGCGCCAUAAAAAAAGUACCGCAAGGGAAAGCUGAAAUAGAAAUGAAAAAACCCAGUCCCGAAGCCCAAGAAAGCAAAGAUUAAUCCUUGUACCUUUUGCAUCAUGAUUUAGCUAGCAUAAUUGAGCGAAAAGAAUUUUAGUUCAAGCCCCCGAAACCAGACGAGCUACUCCAGGACAGCCAACAAUUGGGCAAACCCGUCUCUGUGGCAAAAGAGUGGGAAGAGCCUAGAGUAGAGGUGAAAAGCCUAUCGAGUCUAGUUAUAGCUGGUUGCCUAAGAAAUGGAUUUAAGUUCAGCCUCCUGGCUUCUACAUUCAAACCAUACACAUCAAGAACCCAAGAAACCAGGGGAGUUAGUCAAAGGGGGUUCAGCCCCUUUGACAAAGGACACAACCUUACCAGUAGGAAAAAGAUCAUAUUCCCUAAGGAAACCCUGCUUAAGUGGGCCUAAAAGCAGCCAUCUUAAAAGAAAGCGUUAUAGCUCAACACCCCUUUCCCCACAAAUUACGAUAAUACCAUCUUUAUCCCCUAACAAUAAAAGGCCAUUCCACCCCGUGGAAGAAACCAUGCUAAUAUGAGUAAUAAGAGACUACCAAGGCUCUCUCCCGGCACAAGCGUGAAUCGAAACGAACCCCCAUCGAUCAUUAACGACCCCAAACUAAAAGAGGGUAAUGAACAAAACCCAAAACCCUAGAAAAAAGUUCAACACAUCCCCGUCAACCCCACACAGGAGUGCCAUUAAUGGAAAGACUAAAAAAGAAGGAAGGAACUCGGCAAACAAAUCCACCUAAAGCCUCGCCUGUUUACCAAAAACAUCGCCUCUUGCUAACCCAGAAUAAGAGGUCCCACCUGCCCAGUGACUAUAAGUUUAACGGCCGCGGUAUUUUGACCGUGCAAAGGUAGCACAAUCACUUGUCCUUUAAAUGGGGACCUGUAUGAAUGGUAUGACGAAGGCUAAGCUGUCUCCCCUCUUAAGUCAAUGAAAUUGAUCUCCCCGUGCAGAAGCGGGGAUACAAACAUAAGACGAGAAGACCCUAUGGAGCUUUAGACACCAGAACAGACCACGUUAAAAACCCCUAACACACAGAAGAAACUAAAUGGAUGACUGUUCAAAUGUCUUUGGUUGGGGCGACCACGGAGCAUCAAAAAACCCCCGCGUGGAACAGAAACACACACCGUUUCUGAGAUUAAGAGCCCCCACUCAAAGUCCCAGAAUAUCUGACCAACAAUGAUCCGGCAACGCCGAACGACGGACCCAGUUACCCUAGGGAUAACAGCGCAAUCCUCUUCCAGAGUCCAUAUCGACAAGAGGGUUUACGACCUCGAUGUUGGAUCAGGGCAUCCUAAUGGUGCAGCCGCUAUUAAGGGUUCGUUUGUUCAACGAUUAAAGCCCUACGUGAUCUGAGUUCAGACCGGAGUAAUCCAGGUCAGUUUCUAUCUAUGACCCACCCCCUUCCAGUACGAAAGGACCGAAGCGAGGAGGCCCAUGGCAAAGCUAAGCCUCAUCCUCUUCUUAUGAAACCAAAUAAAUAAGAUAAGGGGAAGACCCCCCCCACCGCCCAGAACAGGACAU